Molecule: unclassified non-coding RNA, 413 nt
Filed under: plant metagenome
Description: partial contains small subunit ribosomal RNA, internal transcribed spacer 1, and 5.8S ribosomal RNA
Source: RNAcentral
UUUCCGUAGGUGAACCUGCGGAAGGAUCAUUACAGUACGUUCCACACGUAUAAACCAAACAGUUGAACUGAAGACGUCCGAUAGGAAAACUGCAAAAGUGGGUUAAUGGCCGGCGGCUUAGGGGUGGAUUCACGAAAUAUCAAACUCGACCUCUCGUAGGUUGGUUUGAGGUGAUCAAAAGUGCCUCGGUCGGUCUGUUUUUCUUUGCUUUAUUGCGAAGAAACGCCCCCGUUUUCCUAGUUCGCGUAUGCUAUCCAAUACAAACACUUUUGUAUCGCCUUUUUCAACAUUUUAACCCAUUUCACUUUUAUUUUUCAAAAAAAAAUUGAACUGAAAUCGUGUUGUCUUAGCGGACGACUCGACGAUAUUACGAAAUUUAAGAACAACUCUUAACAACGGAUAUCUUGGCUCUC